Osmia bicornis bicornis is the source of this 2365-nucleotide long non-coding RNA. RefSeq lists it as uncharacterized. Lineage: Eukaryota; Metazoa; Arthropoda; Insecta; Hymenoptera; Megachilidae. The record is from RefSeq and is a predicted model, not a curated record. The transcript is spliced from 4 exons.
GGAUUGGCAAAAGGACCGACAGGGCCUAAGCCUGCUUCCGACCCAGCUGUCCGAGCUAUCCAAGUCCUGCGGUCCCCCAUGAGCAAAACAUUCGACUGUCCAGGAAUUAUGGGAACUUUCGUCGAACACGUUGAACCACCUAUUCGAUCGUUCGUUCGAUCGAAGUACAACUUCACCGACGUCGAAUCAUUUACGGUAUAACUUUUGGAAGAGACGAGUUUCCCGAAGGAAGCUUGCUCGAUCCUUCGAACGAAAUUAACCAGCGAGCACCAACAGCCAAGCAUCGAGGAGAUACAAUUAGCUAAAUCGAAUCGAAACCGGAAAACACGUGGCACAGAAAAUGAUCAGGUUGUUAAUCCAGAUCGACGAUGGAUCGCUCUUAUGGAAAUAGAGAGAAAAGAACUUAGCCAGUGUUCACCGGGAGACGAAAAGAGCAGCGACAAAGAUAGGGGAGGAAAUAAGAACGUGUGUAAAAAAAGAAAAAGAAGGCAAGGACAAAACGAUGGUAACGAACGUUGAAAACUGACAGCCUUGUAAAAAUAAAAAAAAAUAAAAUAGUGGCAAAGUAGGGAAAAAGAGAAUAUGUUGCACGUCGAUGUGAGUAAAAGAAGAAGAGGAUGAGUAAGAAAGAUUCAGAGGCUGAGGAAAAAAUCGGGGUUGCUGCGAUAGCGAAGGUGGAGAGGAGAUGGGGUUGUUCGGUAGGUUUGAGAGGCUAAAGCAACGAGGAGAGAGGCACGAUCUUUCCUCGGCAUCGCGACUGUCUCUGAGCGAUUUUUGCACAACAAGGAGGCGAAUUCAAACGGCAUUGUACCGUCACGUGCGGCCACUCGCUCUCUUUCAACGGAGCGUCGUUAGAACCUCUUUCCUUCGUGCAACCACAGAACUUCCUUACAUUGCCCUCAUUCUCCUCCUUCACCUUAAUUUUCUACUUACGUCUAUUCUCUUUACAUCGAAUUAAUUGCCACGAAAUCAUCCCUUUUUUCUCGAUCACCUCACAGAAGGCCCAGAUAAUUCGUGCCAACAGAUCCGACGCACGUUCCAAUUCGCUGUACUUUAUAUCUGAAAAUUAAUUACAUAAUACGCGCUCGGACUUUAGUUUUUCAUUUUAAAAUCAUUAAAAGAAAGAUUUCAAUUUUCAACCAUUACUUUUAUCGUUGCAGGGAAACGUACUUUAUUUUCAAAACAGAACACUCUUUUCGUUUUACAUUAUGAAACUAUCUUAUCGUUAUUGUUUAUAAAAAUUAUCAUUUACAAAGUAAGGUAUACAUCUUCCAGUGAAUCAAAUUUCAAUUAAAGGUAAUAAGAGAAAGAUAUCUUCACGUUUAUUAAGGUAGCUAAAUUGUUGUAUUUGGAAUGUUUUGCGAUUGUCAGUGAUCGUGUUCGCGAUAGGUAUUCGUUUUGCAUGGUCACACAAUUAUACUCAAUGUUUCAUAGUGUUCAUUUGAGUCAUUUUUAUUUAUUAGAAACGAUUAGAUAUCUUUUCAUUUUUAUCUCGUACAAGGUCGAUUCCGGGACCUUUCGAACACAGAUUGUGUUUAAUAAAGAUUCACGCGAACAGUUUGCUUUCCCAUCGAGAUUACGAGACAACUCAUUCUUUCGUUUUCUAAUUCAAACACUUACCAUUAGUAAUGUGUUUAUUUCUUUGACAUUCGAUUGGUGCUUUAGCAUCGAUAAAGAGAUCAGUAUCGCUCGCGACCAGACAGAAAUAUAAAUCUUUUAUUUUUAAUUCAGAUACAAUACAUCUAAGGUUAAACAAUAAAGAUAGCUACUAAUUUAAUUUUCCGUCGUGGACAUUAGAAUAAUCAAGUAAAAAUCUUUAACAUUGCACAAUAUACAUAUACAUAUAUGUAUAUACACACGCAUAACGCGGUCACCUAUACCGACUAUUUACAUAAUUUUAUACAACGUUUCUUUGGAAAGACUUGAUUCAACACCGAUGGAUUAAUAGUGAAGAUGGAAUCACCAUUUCCUAAUUUACAUACAUUUAUUUAUCGCUUAUAGAGAUUAAUACAUAUAUCUUUCCAUUUGAUCAUUAGGAAAUGGUUGUAAACGUAACGUUUCACUAUAGAUACAAAUUUACAGAAUGCGCAUAGAAAACGACGAAAGAGAAAUAUUAUUUAUAAUGAACAAGUUUUUUUUAUUAUAACGAUUAACGUACAGUAUUAAAAAUAUUAACCGUCAGAAUUUGAUAGUGUUCCAUUAUACUCUCUAUAUGUCCUGCAUUAAAACGAAUUCUAUUUUUCAUCUUUUAUUAUCUGUAUAUAUAUACACCGAUAAUGCUAAUGGAAUUAUUUAAACUAUAUUUAAUCUACGAAAAAAAAAAAAAGAAAGUGUACCGUGGUAGCGAAACCUGAACAGAGGUAAA